This 61-nucleotide transfer RNA is filed under the name Ephemerella sp. Yunnan-2018. Its description in RNAcentral is "tRNA-Cys". It matches the Rfam family "tRNA". From Rfam's summary of the family: Transfer RNA (tRNA) molecules are approximately 80 nucleotides in length. Their secondary structure includes four short double-helical elements and three loops (D, anti-codon, and T loops). Lineage: Eukaryota; Metazoa; Arthropoda; Insecta; Ephemeroptera; Ephemerellidae. The record is from RNAcentral.
GGUUUUGUAGUUUAAGGAAAACAUUAGGCUGCAAUCCUAAAAAUGUAUUAUACUAAGACUU